GGUUGAUCCUGCCAGUAGUCAUAUGCUUGUCUCAAAGAUUAAGCCAUGCAUGUCUAAGUAUAAACAUCUUUAUACAGUGAAACUGCGUACAGCUCAUUAUAUCAGUUUUUAUUUAUUUGAUGGUACCUCAUGGAUACCCGUAGUGAUUCUAGAGCUAAUACAUGCGUAAAGUCCCGACUUCUUGCAAGGGAUGUAUUUAUUAGAUUAAAAACCAAUGCAAGCAACUGCUCCUUUGGUGACUCAUAGUAACUUUAACGGAUCGCACGGCUUCACGUCGGCGACAGUUCAUUCAA
RNAcentral lists this ribosomal RNA (293 nucleotides) under uncultured eukaryote. RNAcentral's name for it is "partial 18S ribosomal RNA". It matches the Rfam family "Eukaryotic small subunit ribosomal RNA", at positions 6 to 302 of the family's 1831-position model. The record is from RNAcentral.